AUUUUCACCGCUAUGCCUCCUUUCACUCUGGGAGUCUUCCAGAGGUCUUGCACUCGGGAGAGCAUGCUCAGGUUUCCCCAGCUCUACAAAAUCACCCAGAAUGCCAAAGACUUCAACACAAGGAUACUGUGUUGACCAGUGGUCAUGCCACUGCCUGUUGAUUUGUUGAAAAUAUUGUUUACACGUAUGUUCUUGUUACUGAUUGUCAGAAAGCUGGUUUUGAGACUGCAGCUUGGACUAAAUUCAGUCAUCUGGCUGUCUGGGGAAGCAUGCUGACCAGUCUGGUGUUCUUUGGCAUCUACUCAGCCAUCUGGUCCACCAUUCUCAUUGCCCCAAAUAUGAGAGGACAGCAACUGUGAUCCUGAGCUGUGCACACUUCUGGUUGGGAUUAUUUCUGGUUUCUACUUCCUGUUUGAAGAUGUGGCAUGGAGAGUGCCAAGCACAUCUGCAAAAAAGACAUUGCUGGAGGAGGUGCAAAGAGCUGGAAACCAAGUCUCCAGUCCUGGGAAAAGCAGUGGUAUGGAAAAGCAAUGGAAAGAGCAUUUUGAAAAUGCCAUUCCACUGUUUUCUGGCCUUUAUGAUUUCUGCUGAGAAAUCCACUGUUAGUCUGAUGGGGUCUCCUUCAUAGCACCAAUGACCUGAAGAGCCUUGUUGAAGGAAGACUCCAUCUGAUGACUCAGAGCAAGUAUUUUUUAGUGUGUUAUUGUUAUUAGCAGAAAGAGGGCCAUAAAAUACAUGGGGCAAGCUGAAUAUAUCUUAGGCAAAAGAAGAAAAUAUUCAAAUUCUUAUGUUAUUUUAUCUAAUUAUUUUAUCUCUUUUUGUGUGUGACUUAUAAUGUGUGUAUUGUAUUAAUAAAAGUAUAUAAACAUGUAGUUUACAAAUA
Molecule: long non-coding RNA, 883 nt
Filed under: Homo sapiens (human)
Lineage: Eukaryota; Metazoa; Chordata; Mammalia; Primates; Hominidae
Description: PREDICTED lncRNA (TCONS_00026416)
Source: RNAcentral